Molecule: ribosomal RNA, 402 nt
Filed under: Perisphaerus pygmaeus
Lineage: Eukaryota; Metazoa; Arthropoda; Insecta; Blattodea; Blaberidae
Description: partial 12S rRNA
Source: RNAcentral
UACUAUGUUACGACUUAUCUCAUCUUAAGACGAAGAGUGACGGGGCAAUAUGUACAUAUUUUAGAGCUAAAUAAUAAUCAUAUUAAUAAUCUUUACAAUAUUACUAUUAAAUCCACCUUCAUAUAAAUCAAAUUACAACUCAUAAUCCAUAAUACAUUAAUAUAUUGUAAUUCAUCUCCACUUUAAUAUUUACUGCACCUUGACCUGAAAUACAAUUCAACAAAUUUUAAGAAAAUACUCUAAAAAGAUUCUCUAAACGGCGAUAUACAUAUUAUUAAAUUAAAGUUAGGUUCAACGCGGACUAUCGAUAACGGGACAAAUUCCUCUAAAUAGACUAAAAUACCGCCAAAUUCUUUAAGUUUCAAGAUCUCAACUAUUAAUACCUAAGUAUAUAUUUUUAAA